RNAcentral lists this ribosomal RNA (398 nucleotides) under uncultured bacterium. Its description in RNAcentral is "partial 16S ribosomal RNA". It matches the Rfam family "Bacterial small subunit ribosomal RNA", at positions 523 to 918 of the family's 1533-position model. The record is from RNAcentral.
AUACGUAGGGUGCGAGCGUUGUCCGGAAUUACUGGGCGUGAAGAGCUCGUAGGUGGUUUGUCGCGUCGUCUGUGAAAUUCCGGGGCUUAACUCCGGGCGUGCAGGCGAUACGGGCAUAACUUGAGUACUGUAGGGGAGACUGGAAUUCCUGGUGUAGCGGUGAAAUGCGCAGAUAUCAGGAGGAACACCGGUGGCGAAGGCGGGUCUCUGGGCAGUAACUGACGCUGAGGAGCGAAAGCAUGGGUAGCGAACAGGAUUAGAUUCCCUGGUAGUCCAUGCCGUAAACGGUGGGCGCUAGGUGUAGGGGUCUUCCACGACUUCUGUGCCGUAGCUAACGCAUUAAGCGCCCCGCCUGGGGAGUACGGCCGCAAGGCUAAAACUCAAAUGAAUUGACGGGG